RNAcentral lists this unclassified non-coding RNA (17 nucleotides) under Mus musculus (house mouse). RNAcentral's name for it is "oocyte_clustered_small_RNA14151". Lineage: Eukaryota; Metazoa; Chordata; Mammalia; Rodentia; Muridae. The record is from RNAcentral.
AAAGAAAGUCAGCUGAG